AGAAACAACUGAGACCUGAAGCCAGGACCAUGGGCAAGCUCCGGAGCUUCUGGCACAAUUACAAGGUGUUGAUAGUGAUGGGCUCGGGCCUCGGCUUCAUUCACUGGGGUUGGUACACGAUCAAAUCUAACCCGCUCCUGCACCAGAACAGAGACGACUACACUCCCGAGCCGGGCAUCGUGUCCUACGUGUCCCCUGCACCGCUGCCUCCUCUCCCUGAACCCAGCAAGAAGAAGAGGGAGGCCAAGACCAAGGAAUAACAGACUGAGUGCACCUCACUGAGAGUGUACGCUGAGGAUGAAGAACCCGAGCUGGCUGAGGAAGAACUGGUUCUGGGUUGCGGGCGGAGCUUUCCUCGGCCUCCAUUUGUCCACGUGGAUCAUGCAGAAGGCGAUGAAGAAAUCCGUCCGCACCGAACAGCAGCUCAAACACAAAGGAGAGAGUUGAUACUCCGCUCUGAUUUAUAGAUGUUAUAAUCCACAGCUGCUUUUCAUCUGACUGUGUGCUGAAUGUGCGUUUUGUUCAAGAUCACAAAUCAGAUUUUUUUUUUUUUUUUUUUUUUUUUUUUUAAAUCACACACACACUGUAAAAUGCUGCAACGUGUUUUAAAGACUCUGACGGGUCUGGGAAUAAACAUAUGAGAUCGA
Molecule: long non-coding RNA, 647 nt
Organism: Ictalurus punctatus (channel catfish)
Lineage: Eukaryota; Metazoa; Chordata; Actinopteri; Siluriformes; Ictaluridae
Exons: 3
Source: RefSeq, a predicted model, not a curated record